This 406-nucleotide long non-coding RNA is filed under the name Sorghum bicolor (sorghum). RNAcentral describes it as "long non-coding RNA (SBIC_LNC003903)". Lineage: Eukaryota; Viridiplantae; Streptophyta; Magnoliopsida; Poales; Poaceae. The record is from RNAcentral.
UCCAGUAUAGCAUGACUAAUCUCGUUGCAAGCAAAAGGUCAACCAAAACUAUCAAUUAAACAGAGCCAUGUGUAAAUCACCAAGCCCUCCCCUUAGGUCACCUAAUAUUUUUCCAAAGAAAGAAAGGACACCUCUACUUCCGACAACAAUAUUGGGGAUCAUGUGUCCUGAAUACGUAUUUAGAAACAUUGCAUCAAUAACAGCUGCAGAGCAAUAUACAGGGGACUCACCCACUAAAUCCAUACCAUACAUUGACAGGUGGAAUUGGAAUACCUACAUUGACAGGUGGAAUUGGAAUACCUGGUGUUCAAGUUACAGAUUCAGUAAUCUUGAGCUACAGGUCAAACCUAUACAACCCUAAAACUUUGCAAUCCAACAACCAAGACAACCUGUUAAAUCAAGUUAU